GGGUCUGUAGCUCAGUUGGCUAGAGCGCACGAUUCACAUUCGUGAGGUCGCAGGUUCGAGACCUGCUAGACCCACCA
This 77-nucleotide transfer RNA is filed under the name Candidatus Saccharimonadota bacterium. Its description in RNAcentral is "Candidatus Saccharibacteria bacterium tRNA-Val". It matches the Rfam family "tRNA". From Rfam's summary of the family: Transfer RNA (tRNA) molecules are approximately 80 nucleotides in length. Lineage: Bacteria; Candidatus Saccharimonadota. RNAcentral also lists the same sequence under 1 other name. The record is from RNAcentral.